This 545-nucleotide long non-coding RNA is filed under the name Mytilus galloprovincialis (Mediterranean mussel). Lineage: Eukaryota; Metazoa; Mollusca; Bivalvia; Mytilida; Mytilidae. The record is from RNAcentral.
UUUAAUUUAGUGAAAAUGUUGGGUACCCUCCUUAACCGUAUAAUGCCAUGGUUCACUUUUUAUUUUAAUAUUGAUCCGAAAUACUUAAAGCUUUUUCCUAUAAUUAAAUCAAAGACUAAAUGCCAUUGCUUCAUCUUUUUAUUAUGCAAAACAUAUCAACUUGCUUUACAACGCUGUGACAGUCUAGAAAUGAUCCUUGGGGAAACAAAGGUGUAAUCAUCUUUUCCACAAAUUCAGAGUUCAAACCGUCGGGACUAUUAUAUACUGGGAUCGUUUUAACGCACAUCUUCAGAUAACAUUAUUCCUGUUUAAAAUUAAAAAAAAAAAAAGAAAUUGAAAAAUACACACAAAAUAAUAAUUGACAUGCAAAGACAUUUUGAAAACUUAUGAUUACUUGUCAAUAAUACAAAACAAAAUGAAAUAAUGAAUCCUACUAGAACGGACUAGAAUUAUCACAACUACUGAAAACAAAUUAGAGGAAUUAAAAACGUUUUUUUUAAAUAUCGCAAAAAUUAAAAUCGCAUUUGAGUCCAAAAUGACAAAAA